Small nucleolar RNA from Pomacea canaliculata, 76 nucleotides. RefSeq annotates it as small nucleolar RNA SNORD34. The transcript has a single exon. Lineage: Eukaryota; Metazoa; Mollusca; Gastropoda; Architaenioglossa; Ampullariidae. The record is from RefSeq and is a predicted model, not a curated record.
AUCUUCCUAUGAUGUAUUUUAAAAAUUACCUACAUUGUCUGAAUACAUUUGAUUGUAUUUUUAUCUGAUGGAAGAU